GGGCGGUUAGCUCAGUCGGGAGAGCGCCGUCUUCACACGGCGGAGGUCAUUGGUUCGAUCCCAAUACCGCCCACCA
This 76-nucleotide transfer RNA is filed under the name Methylomirabilis oxygeniifera (SeqCode). RNAcentral describes it as "tRNA-Val". It matches the Rfam family "tRNA". From Rfam's summary of the family: Transfer RNA (tRNA) molecules are approximately 80 nucleotides in length. Their secondary structure includes four short double-helical elements and three loops (D, anti-codon, and T loops). Further hydrogen bonds mediate the characteristic L-shaped molecular structure. tRNAs have two regions of fundamental functional importance: the anti-codon, which is responsible for specific mRNA codon recognition, and the 3' end, to which the tRNAs corresponding amino acid is attached (by aminoacyl-tRNA synthetases). tRNAs cope with the degeneracy of the genetic code in two manners: having more than one tRNA (with a specific anti-codon) for a particular amino acid; and 'wobble' base-pairing, i.e. permitting non-standard base-pairing at the 3rd anti-codon position. RNAcentral also lists the same sequence under 2 other names. Lineage: Bacteria; Methylomirabilota (SeqCode); Methylomirabilia (SeqCode); Methylomirabilales (SeqCode); Methylomirabilaceae (SeqCode). The record is from RNAcentral.